RNAcentral lists this long non-coding RNA (220 nucleotides) under Elaeis guineensis (African oil palm). RNAcentral's name for it is "long non-coding RNA (EGUI_LNC044294)". Lineage: Eukaryota; Viridiplantae; Streptophyta; Magnoliopsida; Arecales; Arecaceae. The record is from RNAcentral.
ACCGAACUGAGGUCGACAUUAUAGAGAGUCUACUCCAACUAGGGGUGCAAAUGGAUCAGGUUGGAUCGGAUCAUGAGUGACUCCCAUCCGAUCUAAUAUUUUAAUCGGAUCUCGAUAUUGGAUCCAGAUCUAGCCCUAUAAAUAAUUGGAUUGGAUCUGUGAUCAUUUUUUUCAUCCAACAGGUCAGUCAAAUCGAGUCGAUCCAUGUAUAACCUAGCCC